Molecule: long non-coding RNA, 2677 nt
Filed under: Oryzias javanicus (javanese ricefish)
Lineage: Eukaryota; Metazoa; Chordata; Actinopteri; Beloniformes; Adrianichthyidae
Description: lncRNA (ENSOJAG00000007802.1)
Source: RNAcentral
GCUUGUAAUGGCAUUUGAGUGGUGCUUAUGAAGUUUCCUAAUAAGACACAUUAAUACCUUAUACCAAGGUUAAAUAUAUAUAAUAUUAAAUAUUGACAAUGUUAAAACUUCAAUAUCGUACAACAGAGGCAGAAAACAAGGAUUAGCUUUAAACAAUGACAUACACAGUCAAACAUGAAUCUGAUUGUACAAGAGAUGAAAGACGGACUACAAAAGCAACAAAACACAGAUUUAUUUCUGUUUUUAGAGAGGAUACAGAGUGACUGAAACAAAACUGCCACAAAAGGAUAGCUAAUCUUCAAAAACGCAUGGUUUAGGUUGAGUAGACUUUGGGUGUGGAUGGUAGAAAGCUUAAAAUUUGGGGGUUUUAGGGGAUGUUAAAGAACCUUUGUGGAUGUGUGUUGAGGGCUCAAGUCUUUGAACGAUACUUGCUAUUGUUCGGCUGGAUCAGGUGUGUGGAAUUGGGAGCUAGAAAGAUCUAAAUCCGCAAUUGGAAAACAAACAGAGCGAUAAAUCUUUAGGAACAAAGCUGAGGCAUCCCCUAUGAUGAUUGACAGACUUAUGGUGAUUGACUUUAAUCUCUGAUUUAAAAUGUUUCUUCUUUGUUCUUGGAAAAAUCCAGUAAUUUUGGGAACAAACCCCUUUUAAGGCGUUUUACUGUUCAAAUUUCUAGGCUUUCUGUGACUUUACUAAAACUGAAAUCCCGCCGCUGGGAUUUGCUGUGGGUCAAUGUUUACAGUUUUACUCAGCAGAGCAAACAUGGGACUCCUGAUAAGAUUCAUAACAAAUAAAAGAGAAUGAACUAUGAUGCCGUCACACCCUGGGGCUGAUACUGUCCCUCCUUCUCCCUUUAUAGUUUCACUGGAGCCUGUAUUGUUCCGGCAUGUUCUAAAGGCCUGAAAUUGAUCCCAAUGACUUUGAAGGAAAAAAUUAAAGAAGCAGAAAUGAACACAAUUGUGAACUUGCAUCAAAAACAAAGUGUUUGUACUUCCGACUCAUCCGGUACUCCAGAAAAAAACAACAUGAUUGGGGGAAAAAUAGAAGACCAGCUUUUAUACUUUUUGGUAUUUUACUUAUUGCGAUGUUUAUCUUUACUCACAAAGAUCUCUUGUUCUCUUUCUUUUUUCUUUUUAACAGAAAAAGACUUGUAUUUUGACACCAUCUUUUCUGCAUUUGAGGAAGGUGAAGAAGAAAAAAAUUCAGGCUCUGCCGUGCUGACUGUGGUUCUGAUUUUGGGCCUGAUCGCUGUGUUGGCUGGCCUCUCGUACUGUUACAUGAAAAGGCGCAGAAGCCAAUCUAGAAGUCCAAUGUCCACAGACCCCGCCGCAGAGGCACUAUCCUCUAAACCGAGCUGAAACGCCGCCAUCACUCAAGAGGGAAGUUUUUACCUCAGGGGCUGCUGUUAACAUGACAAUCUGCCUGAUCGUGUUCUUCUGUUUUUGUUUGUAUGUUUGCGAGAGAGAAACUGGACUUUUUGAGCAUUUUGGUUUGUUUGUUUGUUGUCAGUGUUUUUUGUGUGUGUGUGGUUUUUUUUUAACUGCAGUAAAACUUUAAACUGAACAAAGAUCAGGUUUGAGUCCAAAACCAAACUGCUGUGUUAGAAGCAGCUUUAUGCAUGGGUAAGGCUGGAUGAUUAUGUUUUGUGUUUGCUACACAACACUCACGUCUGCUAUGUUUAAACAGCAGGUCUGUUCUGUUUAAAUUAACUUUGUUUUCUAUGUCACUUUGAAUUGGAUCUUGGUUUUAAUUCAGCUCAAGGAAGAUUAGUCUUUUUAAUAAAUGUAUGUCAAUAAAUUCUGUUUUUAGACUUUAAAAAAAUUCUUAAUAAAGUGCCAUUUGUUUUCAAUGGAGGAAACCUUUUUUAUUACCAAAACCUUGUUGGUCUGGAAUCAUUCUUUCAACAACCUCAUGGUUUGUUUGGCCAACUGGAAACAAUUUGAGACUUUUCUCUUAUCAAGGUAAAUGUUGAUUUAAAAAAAAAAUCAAUAUGCUUGUAGAAUUUUUUUUCGUGAUGGAAGUCAUACUUUAAGAAAAUUAAGAUUUUAAUUUAAUUUGAGACCAUUUCUUUAUUUAAAUCAUUGUGAUUGAGGAGCCAAAAAAAAAAUCUUGUUUGAAAAAGUUUGUGGCCUCACAUGCGUUAUACAAUCAGCUUUCUGUUCCACUGGGAAAGUGUAAACAAAGGGGUGAUGGGAAAUUGGUAGAGGCUUACUUGCGUGUCAAGAGUCCUGCACAUAGCUCGGAGGCAAUUCUCUGAUUCCUGCAGCUCUACAGAAACGAUAUCCUAGAAGACAAAAGUUAUACAACUACAAUUCUAUGAAUCCCGGAUGACCGCCAGAGCUCCCAUGACUUUAUAGCCUCAUGUGGGGGCACCAGGAGAUCACAAUGUGACUUUGUUAUUAAAGGGUAACCAAACAGGGAAGUUGGAGGAUGACUCGACUCACAGCCGAGAUGUGAAAAUCCAGUCAGGGGGUGGGGCCUUUGAACAGGACUGCUAUCAUUACUGGAGCUGCAGAUCAUGACGUGGGACUUCUGAAGCUUACAUGGUUUGACCAAUCAUGAAGUUCAACUCUAAUACUUCAAUUUAACCUGCACACAGGUGGUUUUUUACUAUAUUUUCAAGAAUUAAACAAGCUUAUUUUAAUUUGUCAAAAAUUUGGCAAGGACCAACCAACAGACA